Molecule: unclassified non-coding RNA, 291 nt
Filed under: Hevea brasiliensis (rubber tree)
Lineage: Eukaryota; Viridiplantae; Streptophyta; Magnoliopsida; Malpighiales; Euphorbiaceae
Source: RNAcentral
AAUUGGGUCUUCUUCUCAGAGGCUGUGUAACAAGAUUAAGCGAUCAAAAAUUUCCAAGAGCACCAGGAUAGAUUAACUUAGCAGCACAAGGACAUGUUUGGCAUGCAUAAAGAAACAAGUGCAAGGAUAAUUUUUUUUUUCUCUUUUCCAAUCAAAAUCCCAUUGUUUAACGAUCCAUUGAUUCAACACAAUUACAAAAUAUGAAAACCAUCUUUCAACAACUUGAAUUGCUAAAAAUCUUCUUUUCUAAGGCUAAUAAGGAAACUGAAAUGUUACCAGUGGCUGUUUCAG